This 535-nucleotide ribosomal RNA is filed under the name Clostridium sp. enrichment culture clone EAMFC1. RNAcentral's name for it is "partial 16S ribosomal RNA". It matches the Rfam family "Bacterial small subunit ribosomal RNA", at positions 321 to 873 of the family's 1533-position model. Lineage: Bacteria; Bacillati; Bacillota; Clostridia; Eubacteriales; Clostridiaceae. The record is from RNAcentral.
CNUACGGGAGGCAGCAUCCUNCGGGGAGGCAGCAGUGGGGAAUAUUGCACAACGGGGGAAACCCUGAUGCAGCAACGCCGCGUGAGUGAUGANGGUCUUNGGAUUGUAAAANUCUGUCUUUAGGGACGAUAAUGACGGUACCUNAGGAGGAAGCCACGNCUAAUUACNUNCCAGCAGCCGCGGUAAUAAGUAGGUGGCAAGCGUUGUCCNGAUUUNUUGGGNGUAAAGGGAGNGUAGGUGGAUAUUUAANUGGGAUGUGAAAUACUCGGGCUUAACCUGGGUGGUGCAUUCCAAACUGGAUAUNUNGAGUGCAGGAGAGGAAAGUAGAAUUCNUAGUGUAGCGGUGAAAUGNGUAGAGAUUAGGAAGAAUACCAGUGGCGAAGGAGACUUUUUGGACUGUAACUNACAAUGAGGCUGGAAAGCGUGGGGAGCAAACAGGAUUAGAUACCCCCGUAGUGCACCCCGUAANCGAUGAAUANUAGGUGUAGGGGUUGUCAUGACCUCUGUGCCGCNGCUAACGCAUUAAGUAUCCGCC